GUGUCUCUCAGCUCCAUCUUGUUUCACAGACGCAAUACAGCAGUACUUGAGGAAAGUAGCCCGUGCUCAGCUUGUGCCCCAGCAGGCCGAGUGCCAGCAAGCCCCAGCGCCUGCUCAGCAGUGUUAUUCUGGACAGACUCCAGCCAAGGCUGGAAGAAUCAGCUCCUUCAGCCUCUCCUUGUAUGCCACAGGCUUGAGCACCUUAACUAUCUCACUGUGAUGCAUUUCUGUAAGAAAGCUACAUCCCAGCCAAGACCUUUUAUUUCACAUGCUACUGCUUGUCCCCUGGUAGAACUGGAAAGUGGUGGGACGAUGCAGCUGGAGAGACCUCAGGAGGCAGCGUGUCCCAUCUCCAGGCUCUGAAGAAGGACUGGCUGCACGCCACCAAGCUUGGUAUCUGCUUGCUGAGGCCUCCUGGCUGGCUCACAGACUCCACGAGCCAUUUAUCAAUCCUGAAAAGAUAUAGCUAAUAAUGCUCUUGAUUUGCUCAAGGUCUUCAAUAUCUUCAUUUCAAAGCUUGGUGAGCCCCUCUGUGAAGCAGAUAAUCAUAGAACUACAGAACCAACCAGGUUGGAAAAGACCUUUAAGCUCAUCAAGUCCAAAUGUUCCCCAGCACUGCCAAGGUCACCACUAACCCAUGGCACUGAGGGCCUCAUCUACACUGUUUGUGACCACUUCGAGGGAUGGUGACUCCAGCACUGCCCUGGGCAGCCUGUUCCAAUGCCUGAGCACUCUUUGGGGAAGGAAUUGUUCCAAAUAUCGAGUCUAAUGCUUACCUCUGUGCUAGGCAUCAACAGGGUAUUCUUGCCAACAUAAAGCACCUCUGCAAAAUGA
Molecule: long non-coding RNA, 834 nt
Organism: Strigops habroptila (Kakapo)
Lineage: Eukaryota; Metazoa; Chordata; Aves; Psittaciformes; Psittacidae
Exons: 3
Source: RefSeq, a predicted model, not a curated record